AAAGUUUAGCUACUGCUACUUCAUUGUAAACGCGUGUGUCGAUUAGACUACCCGAUUUGCUUGAUUCAGAAUCCCAAAUUCAAGUGUAUCAGAUUCAUCUCUUGAGCAAGGUCUAUGCACUAUUUGCUUGUCCACUUGUUCUUGCUUGUUCUUCGAUUUUCUUGCAUGUUGAAGGUUGUUCGUGGCAUGGCAAGAACAGCAACAAAUUGGAGCCGGUGUAACUGUCGCUAAGGCGCAACACUCCUGUUGGUCGUUGUAGUCAAGCAGCACAACGUCGGAUCCACCCCAAAUCGAGUUA
RNAcentral lists this long non-coding RNA (298 nucleotides) under Setaria viridis. Its description in RNAcentral is "long non-coding RNA (SVIR_LNC007883)". Lineage: Eukaryota; Viridiplantae; Streptophyta; Magnoliopsida; Poales; Poaceae. The record is from RNAcentral.